Molecule: ribosomal RNA, 429 nt
Filed under: Chloroflexota bacterium
Lineage: Bacteria; Bacillati; Chloroflexota
Description: Chloroflexi bacterium partial 16S ribosomal RNA
Rfam family: Bacterial small subunit ribosomal RNA
Source: RNAcentral
UGGGGAAUAUUGCACAAUGGGCGCAAGCCUGAUGCAGCCAUGCCGCGUGUGUGAAGAAGGCCUUCGGGUUGUAAAGUACUUUCAGCGGGGAGGAAGGGAGUAAAGUUAAUACCUUUGCUCAUUGACGUUACCCGCAGAAGAAGCACCGGCUAACUCCGUGCCAGCAGCCGCGGUAAUACGGAGGGUGCAAGCGUUAAUCGGAAUUACUGGGCGUAAAGCGCACGCAGGCGGUUUGUUAAGUCAGAUGUGAAAUCCCCGGGCUCAACCUGGGAACUGCAUCUGAUACUGGCAAGCUUGAGUCUCGUAGAGGGGGGUAGAAUUCCAGGUGUAGCGGUGAAAUGCGUAAAGAUCUGGAGGAAUACCGGUGGCGAAGGCGGCCCCCUGGACGAAGACUGACGCUCAGGUGCGAAAGCGUGGGGAGCAAACAGG